UGUGGUCCUGUUUAUAAGGGUUUGC
Molecule: non-coding RNA, 25 nt
Filed under: Mus musculus (house mouse)
Lineage: Eukaryota; Metazoa; Chordata; Mammalia; Rodentia; Muridae
Source: RNAcentral